CGCUGCCAAGUCAUCUGUCCU
RNAcentral lists this unclassified non-coding RNA (21 nucleotides) under Mus musculus (house mouse). RNAcentral describes it as "oocyte_clustered_small_RNA157". Lineage: Eukaryota; Metazoa; Chordata; Mammalia; Rodentia; Muridae. The record is from RNAcentral.